UCGACCUGAGCUCAGGCAAGACUACCCGCUGAACUUAAGCAUAUCAAUAAGCGGAGGAAAAAGAAAUCAACCGAGAUGCCCUUAGUAACGGCGAGCGAACCGGGCAAAGCCCAACUUGAAAAUCUCCAGCCUAUGGCUGGCGAAUUGUAGUCUAGAGAAGCGCUCUCUGCCCCACCCCGGCCCCAAGUCCCCUGGAAAGGGGCGUCAAAGAGGGUGAGAACCCCGUUGGGACCGGAUUUUGGGGCUCCACGAGACGCUUUCGUAGAGUCGGGUUGCUUGGGAAUGCAGCCCAAAGAAGGUGGUAAAUCCCAUCUAAGGCUAAAUACAGACGGGAGACCGAUAGCGAACAAGUACCGUGAGGGAAAGAUGAAAAGAACUUUGAAAAGAGAGUUAAAAAGUACUUGAAAUUGUUGAGAGGGAAGCGAUUGGAUCCUACGGGUGCGCCCAGGCACACGCCUGCCUAACGGUUGGCUGAAUGCGCUGGGUGCUGGUCAGCAUGGGUUGUCCGGGCGGGAUAAAACCGGGGGUUGUUACCCCGGCUAUGUCGCCUGGCCGACCGAGGAACGAAGGGCGCUCUUUGAGUCCUCCGGGAACUGCGCCCUCAAGAUGCUGGCGGAAAGGUUCUAAUCGGCCCGUCUUGAAACACGGACCAAGGAGUCUAACAUGCAUGCGAGCUGGUGGGUGGCAAACCCAUGAAGCGCAAGUAACCUGACUGGUGGGACGGCCUGUGCCUGCACCAUCGACCCCGCUUGAUGUUUUCAGAAGGCUGGGAGUACGAGCAUGCACGUUGGGACCCGAAAGAUGGUGAACUAUGCCUGAGCAGGGCGAAGCCAGAGGAAACUCUGGUGGAGA
RNAcentral lists this ribosomal RNA (852 nucleotides) under Chlorella vulgaris. RNAcentral's name for it is "eukaryotic LSU rRNA". It matches the Rfam family "Eukaryotic large subunit ribosomal RNA", at positions 1 to 873 of the family's 3401-position model. The record is from RNAcentral. Lineage: Eukaryota; Viridiplantae; Chlorophyta; Trebouxiophyceae; Chlorellales; Chlorellaceae.